AGGACCCAAUUUUUCCCAUCUCUUGCCUGAGAGGACAGACGUUCCUAAAUUAGUGCUGACCAAAGUUUUUAAAACAGUAGAAUGUUUUUUCCUAAAGAAAUUGUUUAUAGAACUUAGGGCAGAGUCCACUUCUAAUGCCAACACUAAUGAUUUAGAGGAGGGGCAGGGCUGGAUUUUGGGGGACCUGAUGGUUGACUGGAAACAGAUAAAAAUGUUAUCACUUUUCAGUUAUUCUUUUUAUAUUUCUUUCAGCCUUGCUUUCCCAGUACUUCCUCUAAUAUCUUUCAUCAUUGUCUUACUACUGUGUCUUCAUGUUAUUUUAAGAGUUGUUGCAAAGGAGGCACUUUUGCAGACUAUACUCUGGGGAAGCAAAUGCACCCCUAUCUUUCUUCAUAGGUAGGCGUCUAAUGGAAACUUCAAUAUAUAAACAGUGAAGAGCUGACCCAUUUGAAACACGGCCUGAUGGCCAGAGCUGUCCAUUUUCCCUCUUGUUUGGAGGAGAGCUGUCCACCUUUACCUGCCCCUCCCCUCUGGUCCCUGAGGCAUUGGAGCAGAAUCCUAAGGCCCUGUUCGACUCUUUAUUUUAUUUUAUUUGAGUAUAGCUGAUUUACAAUGUUGUAUUAGUUUUAGGUUUAGAGCAAAGUGAAUCAGUCAUACAAUAUAAAUAUAUCCAUUCUUUUUUCCCAUAUACGUUAUUACAAACCAUUGAGUAGAUUUUCUUGUGCUAUAUACUAGGUUGACAUUAAUCAUAUAUUUUAUACAGUAGUGUAUAUGAAUAAGUUCUUUCGUAUCUUUUUUUUUUUUUUUUUUUUUUUUUUNUUAGGGCCACACCCAAGCCUGGGAACCUCCAUAUGCCGUGGGUGCGGCUCUAGAAAAGACAAAAAAGUAAUAAUAAUAGGUAAUGAUGUUGAGCAUCUUUUCAUGUGUCUUUUGGCCAUCUCUGUGUCUUCUUUGGAGAAAUGUAUCUUUAGUGGAACACCUACAACUAGAUUCUGGUCUUUUGUAUCAUUGAGAAUCUUGGCUAUUUAUUGUGAUAAUUGUCCUAUUAGGUCUUGUUCUUAAUGCUAUUUUAUUUUAUUUUUUUGGAGCAUUGUUUCCUUUUUUCUUGCUUGCUUUCUUUUUCUCUAAUCUUUUGGAAGUCAUACAUUCUAUUUUCAUUUACUCUUGAUUACUUUGGGGUAACAAAAAUGUCGUAUAAGAUAUAAUCAUCUUUUUUUUUUUUCUUUUCCUCUACUGCAGCUGCAAAUAGAUUGGGAGAAAAUCAAAGCCAAAAUUGAAAUGGAAAUUACUAAAGAACGAGAACGAUCAUCAAGCAGCCAGCCCAGCAAGAAUUUCAGUCUAAAGCACUAAAUGCCAUGCUUACCUUUAAGUUUUACCUUUUGAAACUGAUUCUGAUUAACCAAGGAUAAGCAUGUUUUCAGUGCUAAAGAAAAAGGCAGAAUCUUGAAGUAUAAGUACUUGCUGUGUAUUUAAUACCAAAAGUAUAUUCAGAAAGACUAAGUACAGAAUAAUGAUGUAAUUUGAUGUAAUUUUAUAUUUUUAGUAUAAUAAGCAGAAAAACAUUCCUAUAUAUUUAUGAUAUAUCCAUGUGGUCUUGCUUACAUUCCAGUUUUCUGUCCAUUAUUUUAUCCCUGAAUCUUCAGCAUGAACAAAUAUUAAUGCUGAUAAUAAAACAUUGAACUCUUCAAAA
Molecule: long non-coding RNA, 1690 nt
Filed under: Sus scrofa (pig)
Lineage: Eukaryota; Metazoa; Chordata; Mammalia; Artiodactyla; Suidae
Description: lncRNA (ENSSSCG00040002914.1)
Source: RNAcentral